CCUACGGGGCGCAGCAGUGGGGAAUAUUGGGCAAUGGGCGCAAGCCUGACCCAGCAACGCCGCGUGAAGGAAGAAGGCUUUCGGGUUGUAAACUUCUUUUAUAAAGGAAUAAAGUGAGGCACGUGUGCCUUUUUGUAUGUACUUUAUGAAUAAGGAUCGGCUAACUACGUGCCAGCAGCCGCGGUAAUACGUAGGGGGCAAGCGUUAUCCGGAUUUACUGGGUGUAAAGGGGGCGCAGACGGCGAUGCAAGCCAGGAGUGAAAGCCCGGGGCCCAACCCCGGGACUGCUCUUGGAACGGCGUGGCUGGAGUGCAGGAGGGGCAGGCGGAAUUCCUGGUGUAGCGGUGAAAUGCGUAGAUAUCAGGAGGAACACCGGUGGCGAAGGCGGCCUGCUGGACUGCAACUGACGUUGAGGCCCGAAAGCGUGGGGAGCAAACAGGAUUAGAUACCCCUGUAGUC
Molecule: ribosomal RNA, 459 nt
Filed under: uncultured bacterium
Lineage: Bacteria
Description: partial 16S ribosomal RNA
Rfam family: Bacterial small subunit ribosomal RNA
Source: RNAcentral